Molecule: ribosomal RNA, 207 nt
Filed under: uncultured bacterium
Lineage: Bacteria
Description: partial 16S ribosomal RNA
Rfam family: Bacterial small subunit ribosomal RNA
Source: RNAcentral
CGCGUAGGCGGCUUGACAAGUCGGAGGUGAAAUCCCUCGGCUCAACCGGGGAACUGCCUCCGAAACUGUCGAGCUUGAGUCCCGGAGAGGGUGGCGGAAUUCCGAGUGUAGCGGUGAAAUGCGUAGAUACUCGGAGGAACACCGGUGGCGAAGGCGGCCACCUGGACGGGUACUGACGCUGAGGCGCGAAAGCUAGGGGAGCAAACA